RNAcentral lists this transfer RNA (71 nucleotides) under Solirubrobacterales bacterium. Its description in RNAcentral is "tRNA-Trp". It matches the Rfam family "tRNA". From Rfam's summary of the family: Transfer RNA (tRNA) molecules are approximately 80 nucleotides in length. Their secondary structure includes four short double-helical elements and three loops (D, anti-codon, and T loops). RNAcentral also lists the same sequence under 1 other name. The record is from RNAcentral. Lineage: Bacteria; Bacillati; Actinomycetota; Thermoleophilia; Solirubrobacterales.
GGGGGACUAGUGUAUCGGUAACACGGUGGUCUCCAAAACCGCAACGCCAGGUUCGAUUCCUGGGUCCCCCG